UUUCCGUAGGUGAACCUGCGGAAGGAUCAUUAACACCUGAUUCAUACCCACAACGCGAACCGUGAUUGUCCCACACUCCAAAUUUUAUACAACAAACCACACCAAACCACAUGCUGAACAAAAAUAGGGAGCGCCGAGCGAUCGGCGAGCCCGAAACCAAAAAACGCAAACAACUCUUAACAAUGGAUAUCUUGGCUUCC
Molecule: unclassified non-coding RNA, 200 nt
Filed under: soil metagenome
Description: partial contains small subunit ribosomal RNA, internal transcribed spacer 1, and 5.8S ribosomal RNA
Source: RNAcentral